GUGACGAAGCGACGCCGCGUGUGGGAAGAAGGCCUUCGGGUUGUAAACCACUGUCAGGAGUUAAGAAAUGCAAGGGUGUAAAUAGCAUCCUUGCUUGACUAAGGCUCCAGAGGAAGCCACGGCUAACUCUGUGCCAGCAGCCGCGGUAAUACAGAGGUGGCAAGCGUUGUUCGGAAUUAUUGGGCGUAAAGAGCACGUAGGCGGCUCUGCAAGUCAGCUGUGAAAGCCUUCUGCUUAACGGAAGAACAGCAGUUGAUACUACAGAGCUUGAGUGUGGGAGGGAAGAGUGGAACUUCUGGUGGAGCGGUGAAAUGCGUAGAUAUCAGAAGGAACGCCGGCGGCGAAAGCGACUCUCUGGCCCGUAACUAACGCUGAGUGUGCGAAAGCUAGGGGAGCAAACGGGAUUAGAUACCCCGGUAGUCCUAGCCGUAAACGAU
RNAcentral lists this ribosomal RNA (437 nucleotides) under uncultured bacterium. RNAcentral's name for it is "bacterial SSU rRNA". It matches the Rfam family "Bacterial small subunit ribosomal RNA", at positions 383 to 810 of the family's 1533-position model. The record is from RNAcentral.